RNAcentral lists this ribosomal RNA (484 nucleotides) under uncultured bacterium. RNAcentral's name for it is "SSU rRNA". It matches the Rfam family "Bacterial small subunit ribosomal RNA", at positions 26 to 521 of the family's 1533-position model. The record is from RNAcentral.
AGGAUUAACGCUGGCGGCGUGCAUGAAACAUGCAAGUCGAGCGCGGUGUGAUGCGGGGUAACCCAAUUCACAUCUAGCGGCGAACGGGUGAGUAACACGUGAGCAACCUACCUUUGAGUUGGGGAUAGCCCUGGGAAACCAGGAUUAAUACCCGAUGUGGUCACAACAGGACAUCCUGAUGUGAGUAAAGGCGUAAGCCGCUCAAUGACGGGCUCGCGGCCUAUUAGCUUGUUGGUGGGGUAACGGCCUACCAAGGCGAUGAUGGGUAGCUGGUCUGAGAGGACGAUCAGCCACACUGGGACUGAGAAACGGCCCAGACUCCUACGGGAGGCAGCAGUGAGGAAUUUUCCGCAAUGGGCGAAAGCCUGACGGAGCGACGCCGCGUGUGGGAAGAAGGCCUUCGGGUCGUAACCACUGUCGAAGGGGACUAUAAUGAAUGUACCUUGGAGGAAGCCCCGGCUAACUACGUGCCAGCAGCCGCGGU